CUUUCCCUUUGGAUCAGCAACUCUCAGGCCACAGCCACUGGGUUAAUGACGACUGUAUACCUGCCACCUGAAGGAGUCUAAGAGAAGAUCAGCACUGGGACAGAAGCCGAAAUGAAAAAAGAAGGAGGGAGCCAAGCUCAAAGAGGUGCAGUUGGUACCCCAAGGUCCCACAGUUAGAGAGUGAUGGAGCUGGAUUUGAACAAAGGCAGUCUGAUUCCGGGGCCCAUCUUCUGGAGCACCACACCUGAGGUGCAUGUUCCUACACAGGUGCUUUCUGUGAUGCCACGAGAAUACUCAGAUAGCACACGGACAGGCCCACAUGGCAAUGAAUUGCAACUUGCCAGCAACCAUGUGGGUUAGCUUGAAGUGAAUUCUCUAGUCCUGUGUCUUCAGGUGACUGUAGCCCUGGCUGACCAUGUGACUGAACCUGAGGAGAAGCUGAGCCAAAGGCACACAGAUAAGCUGCACCUGGAUUCCUGACUACAGAAACUGUGAAGUAAUAAAUGUUUGCUGUUCAAAGCCAAGGGUUGGCAAAAUAUAUUCCACUUGUUUCUGUAAAUAAAGUUUUACUGGAACACGGUAAUGUUCACUAAUGUGCCUAUUGUUAUGGCUGCUUUCAUACUUCAACAGUAGUAGCUAUUGAGUAGUUGCAGCAAAAGACUAUAUGUCCACAGGACUAAAAUAUUUACUAUGUGGCCCUU
Molecule: long non-coding RNA, 701 nt
Filed under: Homo sapiens (human)
Lineage: Eukaryota; Metazoa; Chordata; Mammalia; Primates; Hominidae
Description: HSALNT0231359
Source: RNAcentral